UACGGGGGGGGCAAGCGUUGUUCGGAAUUACUGGGCGUAAAGGGCUUGUAGGUGGCCAACUAAGUCAGACGUGAAAUCCCUCGGCUUAACCGGGGAACUGCGUCUGAUACUGGAUGGCUUGAGUGUGGGAGAGGGAUGCGGAAUUCCAGGUGUAGCGGUGAAAUGCGUAGAUAUCUGGAGGAACACCGGUGGCGAAGGCGGCGACCUGGACAGAUAUUGACGCUGAGGUGCGAAAGCGUGGGGAGCAAACAGG
RNAcentral lists this ribosomal RNA (253 nucleotides) under uncultured bacterium. RNAcentral's name for it is "partial 16S ribosomal RNA". It matches the Rfam family "Bacterial small subunit ribosomal RNA", at positions 524 to 776 of the family's 1533-position model. The record is from RNAcentral.